Molecule: ribosomal RNA, 546 nt
Filed under: Fusarium solani
Lineage: Eukaryota; Fungi; Ascomycota; Sordariomycetes; Hypocreales; Nectriaceae
Description: eukaryotic LSU rRNA
Rfam family: 5.8S ribosomal RNA (bases 169-322)
Source: RNAcentral
CCUGCGGAGGGAUCAUUACCGAGUUAUUCAACUCAUCUACCCUGUGAACAUACCUAAACGUUGCUUCGGCGGGAAUAGACGGCCCCGUGAAACGGGCCGCCCCCGCCAGAGGACCCUUAACUCUGUUUCUAUAAUGUUUCUUCUGAGUAAAACAAGCAAAUAAAUUAAAACUUUCAACAACGGAUCUCUUGGCUCUGGCAUCGAUGAAGAACGCAGCGAAAUGCGAUAAGUAAUGUGAAUUGCAGAAUUCAGUGAAUCAUCGAAUCUUUGAACGCACAUUGCGCCCGCCAGUAUUCUGGCGGGCAUGCCUGUUCGAGCGUCAUUACAACCCUCAGGCCCCCGGGCCUGGCGUUGGGGAUCGGCGGAGCCCCCCGUGGGCACACGCCGUCCCCCAAAUACAGUGGCGGUCCCGCCGCAGCUUCCAUCGCGUAGUAGCUAACACCUCGCGACUGGAGAGCGGCGCGGCCACGCCGUAAAACACCCAACUCUUCUGAAGUUGACCUCGAAUCAGGUAGGAAUACCCGCUGAACUUAAGCAUAUCAAUAA